AUGGCGAGAGAAGGACGGCCAGAUUUGUGGGCCAAAAAGUCCAAAAUAAUGCAAGGCUAAAGGGGUAACGGGACAUUCCCAGGGUUCAAUGACAUGACCAGUUAGACAGUAGUGGGCUCAGGCUGAUGCUGCAGCCUCGACGCCUGGAUAUGGAAGGACACAUACCCGUCCGGUGACCAGCGGCGUUCCGGAGUGCCUCAUUCGUGAAAUUCCUCGUCGUCAGCUUGUAUCGCACAUGACUCGUCCUCGGACGGCUGGACAGCUUCGGGACAGACGUCGACGUAUACCAUCGCAUUAGACAGCUGUUGGGUAGAGCACUUUCGGGCUGUGUCAACCUGUUAGAACUUUGUGUUUCGUACGGUAAUGUAAUGUGUGAUGCCGAAUUGUGAACCGUCUGUGUUUAGUCGUAUACAGUAAGCCGAACUGUGAACUGUCUGUAUACAAGUGUACCGGAAGUAGCGGUGUUGCCGAACUUUGGCAGUGUUUACAUUAUCAGCUGAUUAGUGACAUUUUAGUACUUCUCUGUGGUUUAAGAGUCAUUGAGGAUUUAGGAUGAACUGUACUGUAUAUUUGCAUUAACAGCAAUGAUGAAUUUGCUUACGUUUAGAGAAUUUCAAGCUGUAUGAAAUGUAUAAGUGAACUUUAAAUAUACUUCAAAUUUAGUGUAAAUUUGAAUCGACUUCUGAGACCUUGAAAUUACUUGAAAAUUAUUCUUCUAGUCAAAUACCUGGUGUAGUGUGUAGUAGUGUGAGGGAUCCCUACCAAACUGUAAUAUGUUAGUGUUGAACUUGUGUGCUAUGUCUCUAAUUGUUAUUGUGUAAAUAAAUUGUUAAGUUUA
Molecule: long non-coding RNA, 838 nt
Organism: Ylistrum balloti
Lineage: Eukaryota; Metazoa; Mollusca; Bivalvia; Pectinida; Pectinidae
Exons: 2
Source: RefSeq, a predicted model, not a curated record